Molecule: non-coding RNA, 484 nt
Organism: Paramuricea clavata
Lineage: Eukaryota; Metazoa; Cnidaria; Anthozoa; Malacalcyonacea; Plexauridae
Source: the annotation of a GenBank genome assembly
UACUAUAUAACUGCUUGAUUAUCUUCCCUUAAGAUUAUUGCUUGUAAAUGAUUAAAAAUAGAACAAGUUAAUACGCAAAUUUCUAUAUUGUAUACGGACAUAGAAUUUAUUUGUCCAGUAUAUAAUUAAUAUUUAACUAUCCCUUUGACCAAUCACAAAAGACCUUGUUGGAGCUGCUACAUGACCCCCUCAAGGUGGUCACAGUAAGAUGGCGGCCGCGCGCGACUUCCGGCUUCAAUUUCUGUAUCUAUAGUUGCGCUCUCCAUAUAUUUAUAGCUCAGUGGUUCCCACUCAUCAAUGAAAUGCUAUAGAAAAUACUAUACUUUUCGAGGCUUUUUUGCAUUUCUGGAUUAAAAAUACCUUUUUGAGGUACGUUCGCCUUGAAAUCGCAGCUUUUUUGGAAAAGGGUACAAGAAAAAAACAUUAAUUGGCGAUGUUGUUGUCUUUGAAUCGCAUUUUAAAGCUAACAAUUUCGAAUUACGAC